This 254-nucleotide ribosomal RNA is filed under the name uncultured bacterium. RNAcentral's name for it is "partial 16S ribosomal RNA". It matches the Rfam family "Bacterial small subunit ribosomal RNA", at positions 524 to 776 of the family's 1533-position model. The record is from RNAcentral.
UACGAAGGGGGCUAGCGUUGUUCGGAAUUACUGGGCGUAAAGCGCACGUAGGCGGAUCGAUCAGUCAGGGGUGAAAUCCCAGAGCUCAACUCUGGAACUGCCUUUGAUACUGUCGAUCUGGAGUAUGGAAGAGGUGAGUGGAAUUCCGAGUGUAGAGGUGAAAUUCGUAGAUAUUCGGAGGAACACCAGUGGCGAAGGCGGCUCACUGGUCCAUUACUGACGCUGAGGUGCGAAAGCGUGGGGGAGCAAACAGG